ACGAGUUUACAACUCCCAAACCCAAUGUGAACGUUACCAAACUGUUGCCUUGGCGGGAUUUCUGCCCCGGGCGCGUCGCAGCCCCGGACCAAGGCGCCCGCCGGAGGACCAAUUUACAAACUCUUUGUAUGUCCCUCUGCGGAUUUUUAUUAUACAUUCUGAGCUUUCUCGGCGCUCCUAGCGAGCGUUUCGAAAAUGAAUCA
This 203-nucleotide unclassified non-coding RNA is filed under the name soil metagenome. RNAcentral describes it as "partial internal transcribed spacer 1". The record is from RNAcentral.